This 974-nucleotide ribosomal RNA is filed under the name uncultured Microgenomates group bacterium. RNAcentral's name for it is "bacterial SSU rRNA". It matches the Rfam family "Bacterial small subunit ribosomal RNA", at positions 509 to 1504 of the family's 1533-position model. The record is from RNAcentral.
CAGCCGCCGCGGUAAUACGUGACCCCCAAGCGUUAUCCGGAUUUAUUGGGCGUAAAGAGUCUGUAGGUGUCCCAUCAGGUUUCCUGUUAAAUCUCAGAGCUUAACUUUAGAGCUGCAGGAAAAACCGGUGGGAUAGAGGGCGUUAGAGGCUGGAGGAAUGGUCGGUGUAGGGGUGAUAUCCGUUGAUAUCGACUAGAACCCUAAAAGCGAAGGCAUCCAGCUGGGGCGACCCUGACACUGAGAGACGAAAGCGUGGGGAGCAAAAAGGAUUAGAUACCCUUGUAGUCCACGCUGUAAACGAUGGACACUAGCUAUCUGAAGUGUCGACCCUUCAGGUGGCGUAGCUAACGCGUUAAGUGUCCCGCCUGGGAAGUACGGCGGCAACGCUAAAACUCAAAGGAAUAGACGGGGUCUCACACAAGCGGUGGACCAUGUGGCUUAAUUCGUCAACAAGCGAGGAACCGUACCAGGGCUUGACAGACUAGUGAAAGUCUAUCGAAAGAUAGAUCUACCCACAAGGACACUAGUCCAGGUGCUGCACGGUUGUCGUCAGCUCGUACUUUGAAGCGUACGCUUAAGUGCGGUAACGAGCGCAACCCUUAUUGUUUGUUUUAUUUGUCAAACAAAACUGCCUGGGAUAACCAGGAGGAAGGUGAGGAUGACGCCAAAUCAGCGUGGCCCUUUGAUGCCCUGGGCUGCACACGUGGUACAAUGGGACCGACAAUGGGUCGCUAAGGGGUAACCCGGAGCUAAUCCCAACAUACGGUCUCCCAGUUCGGAUUGAGGUCUGAAACCUGACCUCAUGAAGCCGGAAUCGCUAGUAAUCGCAUAUCAGCCAUGGUGCGAUGAAUACGUACCUGAGACUUGUACUCACCGCCCGUCACACCAAGAGAGCUGGCAAUACCUGAAGUCCCGAGCAAUCGGGCCUAAGGUAAGGUCAGUGAUAAGGGUGAAGUCGUAACAAGGUAGCCGUA